RNAcentral lists this ribosomal RNA (460 nucleotides) under uncultured bacterium. RNAcentral's name for it is "SSU rRNA". It matches the Rfam family "Bacterial small subunit ribosomal RNA", at positions 26 to 518 of the family's 1533-position model. The record is from RNAcentral.
AGAACGAACGCUGGCGGCAUGCCUAACACAUGCAAGUCGAACGCCGUAGCAAUACGGAGUGGCAGACGGGUGAGUAACGCGUGGGAACAUACCCUUCGGUUCGGAAUAACUCAGGGAAACUUGAGCUAAUACCGGAUACGUCCGAGGUUUUAAUCGACCUUGGAGAAAGAUUUAUCGCCGGAGGAUUGGCCCGCGUCUGAUUAGCUUGUUGGUGAGGUAAUGGCUCACCAAGGCGACGAUCAGUAGCUGGUCUGAGAGGAUGAUCAGCCACAUUGGGACUGAGACACGGCCCAAACUCCUACGGGAGGCAGCAGUGGGGAAUAUUGGACAAUGGGCGAAAGCCUGAUCCAGCCAUGCCGCGUGAGUGAUGAAGGCCUUAGGGUUGUAAAGCUCUUUUACCCGGGAAGAUAAUGACGGUACCGGGAGAAUAAGCCCCGGCUAACUUCGUGCCAGCAGCCGC